CCUACGGGGGGCAGCAGUGAGGAAUAUUGGUCAAUGGGAGAGAUCCUGAACCAGCCAAGCCGCGUGAGGGAAGACGGCCCUAUGGGUUGUAAACCUCUUUUGUCAGGGAACAAAGGCGGGGACUAGUCCCCGGAUGAGGGUACCUGAAGAAAAAGCAUCGGCUAACUCCGUGCCAGCAGCCGCGGUAAUACGGAGGAUGCGAGCGUUAUCCGGAUUUAUUGGGUUUAAAGGGUGCGCAGGCGGCCUGUUAAGUCAGCGGUAAAAGCCCGGGGCUCAACCCCGGCGAGCCGUUGAAACUGGCGGGG
This 305-nucleotide ribosomal RNA is filed under the name uncultured bacterium. Its description in RNAcentral is "bacterial SSU rRNA". It matches the Rfam family "Bacterial small subunit ribosomal RNA", at positions 338 to 641 of the family's 1533-position model. The record is from RNAcentral.